CAGCCGUAAACUAUGCUCGCUAGGUGUCAGGCAUGGCGCGACCGUGUCUGGUGCCGCAGGGAAGCCGUGAAGCGAGCCACCUGGGAAGUACGGCCGCAAGGCUGAAACCUAAAGGAAUUGGCGGGGGAGCACAACAACGGGUGGAGCCUGCGGUUUAAUUGGACUCAACGCCGGACAACUCACCGGGGACGACAGCAAUAUGUAGGCCAGGCUGAAGACCUUGCCUGAAUCGCUGAGAGGAGGUGCAUGGCGUAGACGUCU
RNAcentral lists this ribosomal RNA (261 nucleotides) under uncultured archaeon. RNAcentral describes it as "partial 16S ribosomal RNA". It matches the Rfam family "Archaeal small subunit ribosomal RNA", at positions 748 to 1009 of the family's 1478-position model. The record is from RNAcentral.